Molecule: transfer RNA, 72 nt
Filed under: Phrynosoma platyrhinos (Desert horned lizard)
Lineage: Eukaryota; Metazoa; Chordata; Lepidosauria; Squamata; Phrynosomatidae
Description: tRNA-OTHER
Source: RNAcentral
GCCAGUGUGGUGUAGUGGUUAGGAUGUUGGACUAGGACUCUGCAGACCAGGGUUCGAAUCCCAGGCUUGCCC